GUGUGUGUGUGUUGAAUUCUCUUUGUAAUCAGCAGAUAUGUUCUAAUAUUUUGCUUAUAACCAAAGAUACACUUUUUUUUUUUUUUUUUUGCUAUUUUUGUCCAUUGCAACAGUUGUAUAGCUUGGGUGUAAAAGGGUAGAUUAGCUCCGUUUCCACAGGCAGCUGGCUCGUUUGUUUUCUUGGGGGCAAAAGCAGGACUCUGACCUGAAUUUUGUUUUAAGAUGUUGACUCUGUCUGCUUUGUCGAGAAGAGACUAUGAGGGAGAGGGUGGAGUCACGAAAUCAGUCAGGAAACCGUUUUUAUAUUCCUGGUGAGAAAUGAUGGAGAUGUGAAUGAAAGUGGACAAGUGGAGGACCUGAGGAUUGAGUUGACUCUGGAUAUAUUUUGAAGUUAGAGAAGAACCCAGGAGGUAAUGGAUUAGAUCUUUGAUGUGGAGGAAAGAUGAGUCCAAGGUACCUCCAAAGUUUCUUGUUUGAGCUUCUUGUGUGAGGGUGGAGUUGCCAGUUUGCAAUGUAGACAUUGUAGAUCUUUGAUGUGGAGGAAAGAUGAGUCCAAGGUACCUCCAAAGUUUCUUGUUUGAGUUUCUUGUGUGAGGGUGGAGUUGCCAGUUUGCAAUGUAGACAUCUGAGGCAGACAAAAGUUGGUGAAUACGGAGAAUACCAACAACUCAGCUUUACACAUGUUAGAUUGGCAUAAGCAUAAGGAUAAUUGAUCCUGAGGUUGGUUAGAGCUGGAGGCAUAUACAUUUUGGAGUUAUUGGCCCAUAGAUAUAUGGUACACCCACACAAAAGAAAUGUAUGUAAAUUAACAGAUACAGAGAGAGAGAGAAGAGGUCUAACGUGGUGUCUUGUGUCAUACUACAAUGCUGGAUCCUAAGGUGAAGAAAUGUUUCACUUUGUUGAUAUUGCUAGUUUUCUGGAGUCAUUGUGGCAAUUUACUGUCUCAGUUGCAGUUGGGAUUUCCAUUUGCUCCAGAUUCUUUCACGUACCUUUGUUAUCCUUGAGUCAGUUUUAACUUAUCGUAAACUUGUGUUUCAACCUCGAUGGUCUUAACGGUAACCCUGAAGGCACAGACUUAAGAGUUCAUCAGUGGAACACAACACUAGGGGGAAUGGAUUCAUUCUGAAAGUAACAACAUUUCCUAGUGGUACUGCUACCACUACUACCAAUCAACACUUAUUUGGUGGUUACUAUGCACCAGUGAUGAUUCUGUGUGUAUCAACAAUAUCUAUUAAGUGUCACAGCAGCUCAGUAUCUUGAAGGCUAUUUAUCGUGCUUCUCAUUUUAUAGAUGAAAAAAAUGAGGCACAGAGAGAUUAAACAUCUUGGCUAAGGUUGCAAACUGAGUGAGUGGCAGUGUCAAGAUUCGAAGCCAUGUAAGCAGGUUUAAACUUGUGCUCUUAUCUACAUGUUUGACUGCCUCUCACUAAGCAAUUGUGAACACGAACAGUUGUUUAGUAAAUCUUGUGCUGCUCCCUUAGAUUGGCUGUGAUGUACAGUUCACACUUUCCUCCAUUUGACUUUGUUAAAUCAGCAGAGGAGAAUCAGUGCCUAAGGAUUAUAAACUUCUUUUCGGACUUAGAGAUUUACAGUGUGUCUGUUUAAAUGUGUGCAAAAAUGACUUUAGAUGUUGCAGAACUGACUUUAAAGUAGUACACUAUCAAAUAACGUGUGAAAUCCAAAUGACCUAGUUAAGAGAUCAUGACACUCACAUUUCUCCAUGGCUGUUUUAGAUUUUGUGCCUUAUAAGGGUGACUGGUUAAAAGUUGAAUAUUCCACUGAACCAGGCUUCUCAAACUUCAAGGCAAGCUCUGUGAAGCCCACCCGUUGUAUUCAUGCGGAAGAGGUCCGCGUUACUCACAUACGUGGAAGAAAUGGGGUGAUAAGUAAUAAUAUCUUUUUCACCUUGGAUUCUGUGAAACUUCCUGAUGGAUAUGUACCUAAAGUAGAUGAUAUCGUCAAUGUGAUUAUGGUGGAGAGCACUCAGUUCUGCUUUAAGUGGAGAGCGGUUUCUAUCAUCCCAGCACAAAAAUUGUAAUGACAAAGCUUUUUUUAUUCUGUUUAUCUUUCCUUCUAUGAGCAGUAAAGGGGCUGGUUUAACUGAAAAGGUUAGCUUAGUAAGCCUAAAUAGUAUUUUACAUAUGGCUUUUCCGGCAAAUCUAAUUGAGAUACUGGCUAGUUCAAUUGGACCAUGAACCCAGCUUAGGGAAAUAACUUAUCAAUUAAAAAGCAUGCUAAAUUAGCUUGCUAGGCACUGGAGGAAAGGAGUUCUUAAUUAAAAUGAACACUGCCAUUAAAUUUGAAUUCCAUGUUUCCCAUUAGCAGCAGCAGAUUCAGGAUGGCGGAGGCCUGGGGCGGCCCUAAAGGGAACCUCGGAGCCAAAGCAUUUAACUGAAAAGGCAGCAGGGACAGCAUGUUAAAGGCAUGAUUUAAAGUUACAAUUUAACUUCAGUUUUGAGUCCCCCUUAUGCUGUCUGUACAAUCUGUAUUAUUCCAUAAUCUCUUUCAUCUUCUGUCAUUCACAUAAUUUGCAAUGUUUAUUGUUUCCUUGUGUUCCUUCUUCCCCAUGCUAGAAUGUGAACUCCACAAUGGCAGGAUGUGUUUUGGUCUGUUUUUUCUUUCUUUCUUUUUCUUUUUUCUUUCAUUAAAGCAUCACCAACACUUAGAAGAAGGUGUCACAGACUCAAGGAGCAGAUAAAAUGUUAUUAACUUCAAUGACUGAAUGAUUGGGCCAGCAAUGAUAUUUAGCUGUGCCUCAUUCAUCACCGGUUCCUUAGUAAUAAAAUUGUUGAGCAAUGCA
Molecule: non-coding RNA, 2799 nt
Organism: Macaca mulatta (Rhesus monkey)
Lineage: Eukaryota; Metazoa; Chordata; Mammalia; Primates; Cercopithecidae
Source: RefSeq, a predicted model, not a curated record